CCGCGUUCCGCAAAGUCCGCCGCGCGCAAGACCACCAGGCCGCCGCGCGCCCCCUCGGGGAGAGCGCGCCCAGCCCAGCCGGCCAACUGUCGCGCGCGCCAUCGCCGGAGGGCGCCCUCGGCAAAGCUGGCCGCGGGCACCGGAGAGCGUGCUGGGCGAAGUUUGCGCAGCUCUAGCACCGCGCUCCAAGUGACCCGGAGAGCGCGCUCCGCAAACCCGCCGCACGCGGCCUCCCCAUCCAGGCGAACUGAAGAGCGCGCCCUGCCGACUUCGCGGCUCUGGACGAUGGGGCGCUCGUCGGAGACCCCCGCUCCUGCUCUCCCGCUGCUGCCCGGGUCUACACCUGGACUUCGGCCUCCACACCAGCUCCGGGACCCAGUUCCCAAGGCCCGAGGACGCCUCCCCCGCCAGACCCUGACCCCAGUAUGCGCGGGCUGCGCCCCUCGGGGGGACGGGGCGCCCACAUCUGCAAGAGCUACCGUCUCCCAGGGGCCCGCGCUGGGAGCCGCCGUGGUCUCCCGCCUCCCAGAACUUGCUUCCAGUCCCUGGCGCGCCUUUCUCACCCUUGGGCAGCAGGACGCUAACUCCGUUUCCUGCAGAGCGCGUCCCCAGUGCCUAACACCGCCUGCUGGCCUGGAUGUAGCGCCAGAAUCAUUCAUGGACUAUUUAUUGAGCGCCCCCAUGUGUCAGCCACUGGGUACGUGGCCGUGACUUGGUCUACUGUGGGAGAGUCAGUGAGUCCCCCCAACACCACUUCACCCCGGCGUCUCCCACACCCGCAACACCCACGCACCUUCCCACAUUUGUCCUUUUUCAACCUGAGGCCUCCAAGGCCUUGCUCUCCGAGACUCCUCAGGGGACCAGCUAAUGAACACAGUCGCACUGAGGUGUAAAUAGCUGAGGAGAAAUUACAGUUUUAUUCACACCAGAGAUGUUGACUGUGAAACUAUCAACGCCUUGAGUGAAAGGAGUGAACCUUCGUGGUGUGACAUCGGGCAAGAACCACAUCUUGUCUUUUAUUUGCUCUCCUCUGGGACUGAGACUUCAAUAUUGUCCGUAAAAUCUCACCAGUACACAGAUACACGCAGAGUGAAGACGACCAUCUACAAGCCAAGGACAGAGGCCUUAGAAGAAAUCAACCAUGCUGACACUUUGAUUUCAGACUUCCAGCCUCCAGAACUGUGAGAAGGCACUGGGGAUACAGAAAGGACAACAAGGACCAAGGAUCCUAUUUUGAUGGAACUCAUAUUUUGAUGGAGGAGACGGAUAAUUU
Balaenoptera ricei (Rice's whale) is the source of this 1273-nucleotide long non-coding RNA. RefSeq lists it as uncharacterized. The record is from RefSeq and is a predicted model, not a curated record. The transcript has 3 exons. NCBI's taxonomy places the organism in Eukaryota, Metazoa, Chordata, Mammalia, Artiodactyla, Balaenopteridae.